Molecule: non-coding RNA, 1473 nt
Organism: Manis javanica (Malayan pangolin)
Lineage: Eukaryota; Metazoa; Chordata; Mammalia; Pholidota; Manidae
Source: RefSeq, a predicted model, not a curated record
UCCCCGAGAAGGAGGAAAUACGAGGGGUGAGGGGUGCGCACGGAACGGGAAAAGGAGGACUUGGGCCUCGGAGUGGGAGCCUCGUUGGAGAGGAGGAGCAGACGAGCGGCCUCAAGGCUGUCAGAGCCACCUAGACACCGCACCAUAAAAAGAGGAAAACUCAAGCCCUGAGGCUAGAGAGAAUCAGUUCACUCGAAGACAGUGGGCACUGAAGCUGCUUGGGAAACAAAUCGCCUUCCUUCCCAGAAUCCUUGUUUGUACCAAGGAAAAGCAGGGAUGCCAGCUAGCUCCUGCUCCAGGGUGUGGUUGUGGAAAGGUUCCUUGGCACCUGAGAUGGCAGGGAAGUGGUUUGUUCCCUUCUUGCUAAGCAGAGGGUAAGUACAUUACAAUGGAGUAGCUGUCUGGAUAAAGGUGACAGUGGAAACCAUGAGAUAGAGUACAGAAAUCAAAGAGCACAGAAGUGAUGGAGCAGACCAAAGGCAAAACCAAAGGGAAAAUCUACAUUUAAGGGGCAGAAGGAAAAAGAAGUGAAAGAAAAGAUAAUAGACUAGGCAGAAGGGCAGGAAACCCUGUAAGAAUGCCCAGGAAGCCGAAGAAGAGUUCAAGAUGAAGGGUGGUCCAGCAGUGUGGUGAAAGAGGACCAAGAGGGAUGCAGACAUGCAGGCAGUUGGUCGACAUCCAUAUAUAUCCAUUGAAAUACCCUAGAUUAUGUGUCUUGAAAUAGUUUUUCUGAAUUAGAAGUCUCAUUUGUUUCUUUAGUCUCUUGCACAUAAAAGUGAGUACCAAGAAAAAGCCAUUUAUUUGGACUUUGAUAGUAUUUCCACUUGUUUACUGAGAGUAUUUACCUUAUAGCAUUUAUAUAAACAGCAUUUUCCUAUACAUACAGAAAAUGAUUUAAAUGUAAAACAAAUUAUGACACCAGAGAAGACCUGUUUAUCAUACUUGUUAACUCACUGAUACACUUAGAAAUAUCUGCGUGUACUCCACACUUGCAAGACUAGAGUGAGAUCCUAGUUCUAAUCCCACCUCUGGCUCCAAUCCAUUUCAGUGUGACUUUUGUAAAGUUACUAAAGUCUAAGUCUGCACUAUCUAAUAUGGUAGUCACAAGCCAUUGUGGCUAUUUAAAUUUAAAUUAAUUAAAAUUGAAUAAAAUUAAAAUUCAGUUCUUAUGUUUUGUUAGCUACAUUUCAAGUGUUUGAAAGCUGCAUGCCCAGUAUCUACCAUAUUAGACAUCUGUUGGGCAGCACCCAUCCCCAUCCUUUACCUGAAAAUAUUCAUCACUAACCACUAAUAUAAUAUUUGUUUAUUAUGAGGGUAAGCAAAUUUAAAGUACAACAAUUUGAAACAAUCUUAGGUGCCCUUAGAUAUACAUUUGAACAAACAUAUCAUGGACAUUAAAGAAAAAAUCAGAAAAUAUAUUUGAACAAAUGAAAAUUUGCUAAUGUCAGAAAAAAUGUGCGUCUGUAUUAGAGA